AGAGUUUGAUCAUGGCUCAGAAUCAACGCUGGCGGCGUGCCUAACACAUGCAAGUCGAACGCGAAAGUCCCGCAAGGGAUAAGUAGAGUGGCAAACGGGUGAGUAACACGUGGGUGACCUGCCUUCGAGUGGGGGAUAACGUCCCGAAAGGGACGCUAAUACCGCAUAACAUGCCGCCUUUUAACAGGCGGACAUCAAAGCUGGGGAUCGCAAGACCUAGCGCUGGAAGAGGGGCCCGCGUCUGAUUAGCUAGUUGGUGGGGUAAUGGCUCACCAAGGCAACGAUCAGUAGCCGGCCUGAGAGGGCGGACGGCCACACUGGGACUGAGACACGGCCCAGACUCCUACGGGAGGCAGCAGUGGGGAAUUGUUCGCAAUGGGCGCAAGCCUGACGACGCAACGCCGCGUGGAGGAUGAAGAUUUUCGGAUCGUAAACUCCUUUCGAUCGAGACGAAUGGCCUUCGGGUGAACAAUCCGGAGGAAUGACGUACCGAGAGUAGAGCC
Molecule: ribosomal RNA, 503 nt
Filed under: uncultured Acidobacteriaceae bacterium
Lineage: Bacteria; Pseudomonadati; Acidobacteriota; Terriglobia; Terriglobales; Acidobacteriaceae
Description: bacterial SSU rRNA
Rfam family: Bacterial small subunit ribosomal RNA
Source: RNAcentral